UUCCAGUUUGCGCUUAAUCUCCAUUUGGAGAGCGGGGGAACCAAAUACGGGUUUUUGUACCGUGUUUUGAAUUCUUCAAGGGGUGAAUUUCGGAGCCUUUGCCAUGAGCAUUGCGUUUUCGAAUAGGGCGUCUCUCUUGCCCGAAUCCGUCAGCUAACCUCGUAAGCGUUCAUAGAGAGUGAUC
RNAcentral lists this small RNA (184 nucleotides) under Bacillus sp. (in: firmicutes). Its description in RNAcentral is "Bacillus sp. c-di-AMP sequence". It matches the Rfam family "c-di-AMP riboswitch aptamer (ydaO/yuaA leader)". From Rfam's summary of the family: This family represents a conserved RNA structure found upstream of the ydaO and yuaA genes in Bacillus subtilis and related genes in other bacteria. The ydaO/yuaA element is thought to act as a genetic "off" switch for the ydaO and yuaA genes in its native state. RNAcentral also lists the same sequence under 1 other name. The record is from RNAcentral. Lineage: Bacteria; Bacillati; Bacillota; Bacilli; Caryophanales; Bacillaceae.